RNAcentral lists this ribosomal RNA (253 nucleotides) under uncultured bacterium. RNAcentral describes it as "partial 16S ribosomal RNA". It matches the Rfam family "Bacterial small subunit ribosomal RNA", at positions 524 to 776 of the family's 1533-position model. The record is from RNAcentral.
UACGAAGGGGGCUAGCGUUGUUCGGAAUUACUGGGCGUAAAGCGCACGUAGGCGGGUUAUUAAGUCAGGGGUGAAAUCCCGGAGCUCAACUCCGGAACUGCCUUUGAUACUGAGGGGCUCGAGUCCGGGAGAGGUGAGUGGAACUGCGAGUGUAGAGGUGAAAUUCGUAGAUAUUCGCAAGAACACCAGUGGCGAAGGCGGCUCACUGGCCCGGUACUGACGCUGAGGUGCGAAAGCGUGGGGAGCAAACAGG